UAUGUUUAUGUGUAAGUAGCGUAUUUAAAAUACAACCAUAUGCAUGUUUGUAUAAAUGUGGGUUUUAUGUUUGAUUUUAUUUCCCUCCAUAGAUUUUCUGUACCUAAGUGUCUGUCUCCAGUAAACAAAUACCAAGUCUAACACAAAGCCUGGCACAUAGUGAUAUCCAUAAAUAUUCAUUGAGAGAAUGAAUCAGUGGAAGUCAACAGCUUUUUCUAAUCAUUAAUUAUAUCAGCUCUUAAGUCAUCUUGAGCAAAAAAGUACAGAAAGAAGAAAACUAGGAGCCUUAAAAAUUGCUUUUUUUUUCUCUUCUAAAACUUCAUGGGUUUAUGAUCUGCCUUCUCAGGGAAAAAGCCCCCAUUCCUCUCUGUUUGUUUUGGGCUUGAAACAGAAAGAAUAAGGUGGAAAACUUCUGCUGUUCACUGCUAUGGCUGCCCACUAAUAGAGAAGCCCCAGCUCUCCCAGGAGAAUACCUGUCAGUAAAACCUUGCUGUCCAGCCAGUGAGGUGGAAAAGUAAAACUGUGACUCAUCUAACCUUCAUCCAGCUGUGUCAUAAUUGCCAUGUACAGGACAUCAUACUGGAUGCUAAAUGUAAAUAAUCACAGCUAUCUGUAAAUCAGGUCCCCACCUCCGGGACUGCAGAAUCUGGAGGAAAAAUAAAGAUUAAAAUACACAGAGAACAAUACUGAUUUUCAUUAUUGAAAUAUUCAAAUGGCAACUGAGUUAUCAAAUUCAUCAAAGAAAUUAUAUGUUGAAUAUGACACAGAUUUAUUGAUACUGCCAGAAGUCCAGUGAGAAUGGAAGAUAAAAUUCCUUGCAGCUUGAACUACUGGAUUAGGAGAUUUCUAAAUGCAAUUUGCUAAUGAAGACAACACACUGCUGAGGAAAAUUCAUAAUGUUUGUUGGCUGAUGCAACUAACUUGAAAUAAAGCAUUUUCGGAGUACAAAAUAAUGAAAAGGUGAUUAAGCUCAAGUUUGAAAAAGACAUAAUUAAGUACAAGUUGUGUUUAGGGGCCAUGGAGCUUUCAGUGUUUGGGGUAUAAUUAAUAAAAAUGUAUAAAGGAAUAAUAGAAACUCCAGCACUAUAAAAAGCAAUCAAAUUGUUGAGAUCUUUAAAUAAAAAGGCUUUUUCAUUUUGUAGAAAUACUAUUUGAAUAUACAAAUGAACUUAAUAAAACAUGAUUUUGGAAAUGUGUAUGUGGUAUUAAUCUAUAUAAGAAACUGCUUGGUGUGAUUCAAUGAAGGAUCUAUCUGGAAUAAAUUGGAGAUCCUGGGGACAGGUGUCCGAGUGGGUGAUGAGAGGAAAGAGCAUGUAUUCAACUCUGAACCUUGUGUCUGUGUCUGACUUGUGAGUUGUUGGGAUUUCUCAUAGAGUCAACACACCACAGUAGGGCUGGUCAACAGAUUUUCUCAGGCACUCAGGGACUCUGUGUGGAAAGUUGCAGCUGAUGUUGCGGACUAUUGAGGCUAAAGAUGUAUGAUUCCAAAUAACAGCUCUACCAUGACACAGAAAGAAUGUAUCUGGGCUUUUGAAUAGUCUCAUUAAACAAAAAAAAUUAAGUUUUAAAGCCUUGGACAGAACAAGUGUUCAGUAUUUUCCUGUUUAGUGGAAAUUUUUUGUGUAUGUGUUUGUGUCUCUGUUUGUCUGUGUGUCCGUGGGUAUAGCUGUGUCUGUGUUGUGCUCCUGCGUGACUGUAAGUGUGCAAGAGCACACGUGGAUUCAAAGGUGAGAGGUGGGUGCCAGGUGUCUUCCUCAGUGAAUUUCCACCUUAGUUUGUUGAUGCCGAGUCCAUCUCACUGAACCCAGAGCUCACCAAUUAAGCUAGGCUGGUGGCCAGCAAGCCUCAAGGAUGCCCCAUCCCACCUCCCAGAAGGAGGUUACAAGUGUGCACCAUGAUGUCCGGCCCUUUGAAUGGAUGUUGGGGAUCCGAACUCAGGUCCUCAUGCUUCCAUAGCAAGCACUUUACCUCCUGAGCCAUCUCCCCAGCCCCAAUGAAGACUUCUAAAAUGAGUAUUAGUACACGUCAAGGUUCUCACCAUGCAAGGAGGCAUUGCUGAGGCUCCAUAUUUCUCCAAUAGUUUUGAGAGCAUCAGUUUAAGGUUAUCAUCAUUUUCUCAUUUUCGAUGUGAAUUAUUAGGCCAAGACAUGAUUCAGUACCAUUUAUGUACCCUACAACUAAGCUGUGAAGACCCCUUGGAAUCCCUGCUUGAACAACUAAACCAUACAGUUAAACUAAUUUGCCCUUGGUUAGUAACUCUACUAUUCUCUUUCUUUGAGCAGAGGUAUAUUCUGUAUAGAUAUACAAUUUCUUCUGUACACAUGAUAUGGCAUUAACAUAGGAAAAUAAAAUCAAGCAGUGGUUCAGGCACUUGAAACACACACACACAUACACACACACACACACACACACACACACACACACACACACACACACACACCGUCCAUUCUGCCCAAGACACCAAGGCAAGAGCCUUUGUUGUAUUUACCUGUGAACUAGUAUAUACUGAUGUUGGAAUUCUGAAAACUUAUGUUUUUGAGAUUAUAAAUGUAUUUUAUUUGGUAGUCACAAAAAUAAAGUGUACUUGUUAAAAUAUAAAGACACGGUGAAGUCAGAAAAGAUCAUCUAGACAGUAGAACUGAAAAUACAGGAGUUUGGUGAAAAAAAAAUUUCACUUGAGGCACAUGUGGUUUUGAUUGCUACAUAAUAAACUUGUUUCGUAAAUGGGAAAAGUACAUAUUAUGGUCAUAAAAUCAGGAGAUUUCUCUUUCUGGCAGCUAGAUAUACAAUAGAGUUGUGUGAGAGAAGUUAAAUGGGUGUUGCAAUAAUCUAAAUGUUUAUUUAUUAAAAGCAAUAUUUAAGAUUCUACAGCAUUAAUAGCAAUUUAUUAGAUACAAAUGAAUGUUUGUUUACAUGAACUAGGGCAGUGGCUACAGAAAUGGAAAUGAUGCUGUUGAAUAUUAAUAAGGUGAUUAAACCAGUUCAGGAUGCACAUUUACUUGAGGCUGUUAGGCCUACACUACCUCACUUUACAGAUUUGAAGAUGAUCCACAUUAUUGGGAAAUUUUCCCAAAAUUAAUGACAAUAAGAACCACGAGGGGGAUUCAGCUAACAGUAGCAGACCCACCACACACCAGUCUGUGUCUAAAUGGCACAUGCUUCUGACAGAAAGACACCCGGCUGAGGGAGGAGGGCUGGGCAGGAGGAAGCCAUGCAAGCCACUCAAAGCUUUAUCAAAGGCUCCAUGUCUUCAGUCUCGGAAACCAAAUCCAUCCCAGUACCCCUGCAAAGCAUCAGAGAGUAUGAGUGUGCUCAAAAGAAAUAAGUGGACCAAAUGGGCUCUAUUAUUGGUCAUGUCUGCUUUUGUGGCUUUAGGUAGAAGGUGAUUUCCAGGGGUCUCAAAAGCUAUCCCCAGUUUUUCUUAAUUUGAUCUGUAACAUUGUGGAAGGGAACUAUCAGGCCGUCACAGUGGCUGUCAGUGAAGAAGGGAGCUUAUUUGAAAAUCAUUUUAAAUCCUUCUAUGUGACUUUAUACCUCUACUGAUUUUUUUUCCUAAAAAUGAUGCAACACUCAGAUUGUCAGAA
Molecule: long non-coding RNA, 3584 nt
Organism: Peromyscus leucopus (white-footed mouse)
Lineage: Eukaryota; Metazoa; Chordata; Mammalia; Rodentia; Cricetidae
Exons: 4
Source: RefSeq, a predicted model, not a curated record